RNAcentral lists this ribosomal RNA (492 nucleotides) under uncultured bacterium. RNAcentral describes it as "partial 16S ribosomal RNA". It matches the Rfam family "Bacterial small subunit ribosomal RNA", at positions 29 to 507 of the family's 1533-position model. The record is from RNAcentral.
AGUGAACGCUGGCGGUAGGCCUAACACAUGCAAGUCGAACGGCAGCACAGUAAGAGCUUGCUCUUACGGGUGGCGAGUGGCGGACGGGUGAGGAAUACAUCGGAAUCUACUUUUUCGUGGGGGAUAACGUAGGGAAACUUACGCUAAUACCGCAUACGACCUACGGGUGAAAGCAGGGGAUCUUCGGACCUUGCGCGAUUGAAUGAGCCGAUGUCGGAUUAGCUAGUUGGCGGGGUAAAGGCCCACCAAGGCGACGAUCCGUAGCUGGUCUGAGAGGAUGAUCAGCCACACUGGAAAUGAGACACGGUCCAGACUCCUAAGGGAGGCAGCAGUGGGGAAUAUUGGACAAUGGGCGCAAGCCUGAUCCAGACAUACCGCGUGGGUGAAGAAGGCCUUCGGGUUGUAAAGCCCUUUUGUUGGGAAAGAAAAGCAGCAGGUUAAUACCCCGCUGUUCUGACGGUACCCAAAGAAUAAGCACCGGCUAACUUCGUG